UACUGCAAUUUUGAUAAUGUCGUAACAAAAUGUAAUAUCAGUUCUACGAAAACAUGGUGCAAUUUCAUCCUGUUGUGAAAGAACUCCGUGUUUACUAUUUGUGCAAACCCCGAUUCAGUCUUUUUGCCUGGAAGCUUGCACGGUUCAAGAUGCCUUUAGCUACAGAUUUAUUACAUCCUCUGCCUGAAGAUGAGAAGAAAAAACAUAAACUCAAAAGAAUAGUUCAAAGUCCUAACAGUUAUUUCAUGGAUGUCAAAUGCCCAGGCUGCUACAAAAUCACAACAGUGUUUAGUCAUGCACAAACAGUAGUGUUAUGUGUAGGUUGUUCCACAGUCUUGUGUCAACCAACAGGA
Patella vulgata (common limpet) is the source of this 353-nucleotide long non-coding RNA. RefSeq lists it as uncharacterized. The record is from RefSeq and is a predicted model, not a curated record. The transcript is spliced from 3 exons. Lineage: Eukaryota; Metazoa; Mollusca; Gastropoda; Patellidae.